This 484-nucleotide ribosomal RNA is filed under the name uncultured bacterium. RNAcentral describes it as "partial 16S ribosomal RNA". It matches the Rfam family "Bacterial small subunit ribosomal RNA", at positions 30 to 507 of the family's 1533-position model. The record is from RNAcentral.
AUUGAACGCUGGCGGCAGGCCUAACACAUGCAAGUCGAGCGGACGAAGGGAGCUUGCUCCUGGAUUCAGCGGCGGACGGGUGAGUAGCGCGCAGGAAUCUGCCUGGGAGAGGGGGAGCACGUCCGGACAGGGGCACUAAUACCGCACACGUCCUGCGGGAGCACGUGCGGGAUCUUCGGACAUCACGCUAUCAGAUGAGCCUAGGUCGGCUUAGUUAGUUGGUGGGGUAAGGGCCUACCAAGCUGACGAUCCGCCACUGGUCUGGGAGGCAGAACAGACUCACUCGAACUGAGACACGGUCCAGACUCCUACGGGAGGCAGCAGUGGGGAAUAUUGGACAAUGGGCGAAAGCCUGAUCCAGCCAUGGCGCGUGUGUGAAGAAGGUCUUCGGAUUGUAAAACACCUUAAGUUGGGAAGAAGGGCAGUAAGUUAAUACCUUGCUGUUGUGACGUUACCAACAGAAUAAGCACCGGCUAACUACGUG